This 433-nucleotide ribosomal RNA is filed under the name uncultured bacterium. RNAcentral describes it as "partial 16S ribosomal RNA". It matches the Rfam family "Bacterial small subunit ribosomal RNA", at positions 29 to 507 of the family's 1533-position model. The record is from RNAcentral.
AGCGAACGCUGGCGGCAGGCUUAACACAUGCAAGUCGAGCGGGCGCUUCGGUGUCAGCGGCAGACGGGUGAGUAACACGUGGGAACGUACCCUUUGGUUCGGAAUAACGCUGGGAAACUAGCGCUAAUACCGGAUACGCCCUUUUGGGGAAAGGCUUGCUGCCGAAGGAUCGGCCCGCGUCUGAUUAGCUAGUUGGUGGGGUAAUGGCCUACCAAGGCGACGAUCAGUAGCUGGUCUGAGAGGAUGAUCAGCCACACUGGGACUGAGACACGGCCCAGACUCCUACGGGAGGCAGCAGUGGGGAAUAUUGGACAAUGGGCGCAAGCCUGAUCCAGCCAUGCCGCGUGAGUGAUGAAGGCCUUAGGGUUGUAAAGCUCUUUUGUCCGGGACGAUAAUGACGGUACCGGAAGAAUAAGCCCCGGCUAACUUCGUG